Molecule: small nucleolar RNA, 130 nt
Filed under: Otolemur garnettii (small-eared galago)
Lineage: Eukaryota; Metazoa; Chordata; Mammalia; Primates; Galagidae
Description: Small nucleolar RNA SNORA75 (ENSOGAG00000018512.2)
Source: RNAcentral
GACUUCUCAUUGAGCUUCUUUCUGUCUCUGGGUAGCAGUUCAUGGAUUUGCACAAGAAGAAUUCACAGAACUAGCAUUAUUUUACCUUUUUGCUUUACAGAGGUACAUCUGGCUAUUUUGUAAGACAUUC